ACGCUCGCUAUGGCAGCACAUAUACUAAAAUUGGAACGAUAUGGAGAAGAAUAGCAUGGCUCCUGCACAAGGAUGACACGCAAAUUCGUGAAGCGGUCCAUAUUAAA
Molecule: small nuclear RNA, 107 nt
Filed under: Papio anubis (olive baboon)
Lineage: Eukaryota; Metazoa; Chordata; Mammalia; Primates; Cercopithecidae
Source: RNAcentral